GCGUAACGCGUAAGUAACUUGCCCAAGGUAAGGAAUAACGUCGAGAAAUCGGCGCUAAUACCUCAUAAUGCAGCGGAUCCGCAUGGAUAUGUUGUUAAAGGUUUACCGCCUUGGGAUAGGCUUGCGUCUGAUCAGCUAGUUGGUGUGGUAAUGGCACACCAAGGCUACGAUCAGUAACUGGUCUGAGAGGAUGAUCAGUCACACUGGAACUGAGACACGGUCCAGACUCCUACGGGAGGCAGCAGUGAGGAAUAUUGGGCAAUGCACGAAAGUGUGACCCAGCAACGCCGCGUGGAGGAUGAAGGUAUUCUAUAUCGUAAACUCCUGUGAGAGCAGACGAAAGACAGAUUAUUAAUUUGGAUGACUGUAUGCUCAGAGGAAGCCCCGGCUAACUACGUG
This 399-nucleotide ribosomal RNA is filed under the name uncultured bacterium. Its description in RNAcentral is "bacterial SSU rRNA". It matches the Rfam family "Bacterial small subunit ribosomal RNA", at positions 108 to 507 of the family's 1533-position model. The record is from RNAcentral.